GACGUAGGGCGCGAGCGUUGUCCGGAAUUAUUGGGCGUAAAGAGCUCGUAGGCGAUUUGUCGCGUCGACUGUGAAAACCUACAGCUUAACUGUGGGCUUGCAGUCGAUACGGGCAGACUUGAGUUCGGUAGGGGAGACUGGAAUUCCUGGUGUAGCGGUGAAAUGCGCAGAGUAUCAGGAGGAACACCGGUGGCGAAGGCGGGUCUCUGGGCCGAUAUUGACGCUGAGGAGCGAAAGCGUGGGAGCGAACAGG
RNAcentral lists this ribosomal RNA (253 nucleotides) under uncultured bacterium. RNAcentral describes it as "partial 16S ribosomal RNA". It matches the Rfam family "Bacterial small subunit ribosomal RNA", at positions 524 to 776 of the family's 1533-position model. The record is from RNAcentral.